UAAACUAGGAUUAGAUACCCUAUUAUUUUAUCUGUAAAAUAUUCCCGGGGUAGUAGUAGAUAUUUUCUUGAAACCCAAAGGAUUUGGCGGUGUUUUAGUCUAUUUAGAGGAACCUGCCCCUUAAUCGAUAGUCCUCGUUUUAUCUUUCUUUAUAUUGAUUUCAGUAUGUAUACCUCCGUUAUAAGUUUAUUCUUUUAGGUUAUUUACUAUAAAUUUUAUUAAAUUUUAUUUCAGGUCAAGGUGCAGCUAAUUAUAAAGUGGAGGUGGGUUACAAUAUUAUAUGUAUAUGGAUUAAUAAAUUAAAUAUAUUAUGAAGGUGGAUUUAAAGGUAAUUUUAAUUAUAGAGUUAAUUUGAUUAUAGCUCUAAGAUGAGUACACAUCG
This 382-nucleotide ribosomal RNA is filed under the name Caribbiopheromera jamaicana. RNAcentral describes it as "partial 12S ribosomal RNA". Lineage: Eukaryota; Metazoa; Arthropoda; Insecta; Phasmatodea; Diapheromeridae. The record is from RNAcentral.